Long non-coding RNA from Phyllostomus discolor (pale spear-nosed bat), 424 nucleotides. RefSeq lists it as uncharacterized. The record is from RefSeq and is a predicted model, not a curated record. The transcript is spliced from 3 exons. Lineage: Eukaryota; Metazoa; Chordata; Mammalia; Chiroptera; Phyllostomidae.
UAAAAAGGCUGCACUAUUUAUUGAGUAAUGAGCAACUCUGUGUUCAGUUAGAAAAUGUAUUAACUGAGUGACAGGAUGCACUUACCUGUUUCUCUGUGUUAGAUGUGUAAGGGGCUGGAGCUGUUCACACACACACACACACACCUGUAGCACUUCCGAGCUCAGACAGAGAGUCUAGAUGGCAUGAAUGAGUCUUGGAAUUGGCUCUUGCAAUUAUGAAAACUUGGUGAGUCAAAAACCUGCAGGGUGGGCCAGCAGGCUGGACGCCCAGGGGAGACGUGCAGUUCCAGUCCAAAAGCCGUUUUGAUGGCAAUUUCCUCUGCCUCAGGGGAGGAAAGAACACACAGACCUUGACCCGACUCACGUCUAACUAAAGCCGGACUGUGGGAGUCCGGUGUCCGUAAAUCAGCUUUCCCAUCGGAAC